UCAAAGGUCAGACUUUCUUGAGAAGAACGCCAUUGCCAUGAUCUAAAAGGGGCCAAAUUCACCCCAGCACACUAGCAGCAUUCCGUCCUUCAGCAGUUCCACUUCCACUCUCCUUUGUUUUGGUUUCCAGAUAAUCUAGGUCUGCUACUACCUAGUUCUCCAAAACUCCAUCUACCUCUCUGUCGUAGCUGACUGAUCCCUUAUACCUUUCAUGUUUAAAGAUUAUUUAGAAGGGGAAAGACAAAGCAUGCCUUUGUGAAAUACAGACAAAAAUAAAAACUGUGAAGCAAGCACAGUCAUUAACCGGGGUCUGCACACAUCCAGCGUCAUCGCCAUCAGCAUCGUUCCUCUGUACAUCAUGUCUCACUGAAUGGUCUUCAGGUACAUGGAGCUCUGCUCUCCUCUCCUCGGACAGCAAUGCCCUCUUGUCCUGAGUGACCUAGCUAAGGCUACUUUGCAAGCUCUUGUUCAGAAAGAAAUUAAGUGGCUAGGAGCGAUGGCUCAGAGGUUUGAGCGAGCACACCCUGCUCUCUUGGAGGACCUGGAUUUGCUUCCCAGCACCCACACACCAGCUCCCAAAUCUGUAACUCCUCUUGCAAGGGAUUCAGUGCCCUCUUCUGAGCUCUGGGAGGAUGAUCCACGCACAUGACACAAGCAGGCAAAAUGUUCAAACACAUAAAAACAAAUCUGUAAAGAAUAAAAAUAAAAACACUUGAGAUCAGCUAUA
This is a non-coding RNA of Rattus norvegicus (Norway rat), 727 nucleotides long. Lineage: Eukaryota; Metazoa; Chordata; Mammalia; Rodentia; Muridae. The record is from RefSeq and is a predicted model, not a curated record.